GACGAACGCUGGCGGCGUGCUUAACACAUGCAAGUCGAACGGAAAGGCCCUGCUUUUGUGGGGUGCUCGAGUGGCGAACGGGUGAGUAACACGUGAGUAACCUGCCCUUGACUUUGGGAUAACUUCAGGAAACUGGGGCUAAUACCGGAUAGGAGCUCCUGCUGCAUGGUGGGGGUUGGAAAGUUUCGGCGGUUGGGGAUGGACUCGCGGCUUAUCAGCUUGUUGGUGGGGUAGUGGCUUACCAAGGCUUUGACGGGUAGCCGGCCUGUGAAGGUGACCGGCCACAUUGGGACUGCGAUACGGCCCAGACUCCUACGGGAGGCAGCAGUGGGGAAUAUUGCACAAUGGGCGGAAGCCUGAUGCAGCAACGCCGCGUGCGGGAUGACGGCCUUCGGGUUGUAAACCGCUUUCGCCUGUGACGAAGCGUGAGUGACGGUAAUGGGUAAAGAAGCACCGGCUAACUACGUG
This 468-nucleotide ribosomal RNA is filed under the name uncultured bacterium. Its description in RNAcentral is "partial 16S ribosomal RNA". It matches the Rfam family "Bacterial small subunit ribosomal RNA", at positions 28 to 507 of the family's 1533-position model. The record is from RNAcentral.